UUGUAGUGCUACCACUGCGGGUGCACUGACUGGGUAUUGUACAUCUUUUCCAACAUUAUGCAAAGUCAUAUCGAGUGUUUCCCAUGAUGAAUUUGACGCGAUGGGACCCAACGCUGGUGACUUUCUUCAGCAAAAAUGGCUGACAAGAAUACUACGAUGGAAGCAAAUUCCCCACAGAUGCUGAUGAGAGUCCAGAACUGGAAUAUGCUGACAUCAAUUUUCUAAAGAAGAUGGAGAAACACAGGGAGGUUCCAGAGGAUGUGGAGUAUGGACAGGUUGUAGUAUUGAAGGGUUCCAGACCAACCACAGAGAGAGACAGACCUGAGGGGCGGGAGGAGACUGUGUAUGCUGGAAUACAGCUUGACCAAUGAGAGAGAUUCUUGUGAAGGGUUGAUAUUUAGACAUAACAUUAAAGCUCUGUUGCUUCUUUUGUUACUGUAACUAUUAGUAUCUAACGUUCCCAUAUUUCUGUACAUAUUUGCAUAAAAUGUAAAUGAACAACUAAACUGUAUACACUUGC
Long non-coding RNA from Oncorhynchus kisutch (coho salmon), 520 nucleotides. RefSeq lists it as uncharacterized. The record is from RefSeq and is a predicted model, not a curated record. Lineage: Eukaryota; Metazoa; Chordata; Actinopteri; Salmoniformes; Salmonidae. The transcript is spliced from 2 exons.